This 759-nucleotide ribosomal RNA is filed under the name uncultured Chloroflexota bacterium. RNAcentral's name for it is "bacterial SSU rRNA". It matches the Rfam family "Bacterial small subunit ribosomal RNA", at positions 8 to 796 of the family's 1533-position model. The record is from RNAcentral. Lineage: Bacteria; Bacillati; Chloroflexota.
AGAGUUUGAUCAUGGCUCAGGAUCAACGCUGGCGGCGUGCCUAACGCAUGUAAGUCGCACGCACGCACUUCGGUGCGUGAGUGGCGAACGGCUGAGGAACACGUACGAACCUGCCCGUUCGUGGGGAAUAACGCGCCGAAAGGUGUGCUAAUACCGCGUACGCUCAUCCUGUAGCGGGAUGAGGAAAGCCUUCGGGCGCGGACGGAGGGGCGUGCGGCCCAUCAGGUCGUUGGCGGGGUAAGAGCCCACCAAGCCGUUGACGGGUCGCUGGUCUGUGAGGACGAUCAGCCAGACUGGGACUGAGACACGGCCCAGACACCUACGGGUGGCAGCAGCGAGGAAUCUUCUACAAUGGGCGCAAGCCCGAUAGAGCAACGCCGCGUGGAGGACGACGGCCUUCGGGUUGUAAACUCCUUUCAGGGGGGAUGACAUGGACAGUACCCCCAGAAGCAGCCCCGGCUAACUCUGUGCCAGCAGCCGCGGUAAGACAGAGGGGGCAAGCGUUGUCCGGAUUUACUGGGCGUACAGCGCGCGCAGGCGGGCUUCAAGGUGCCGUGUGACAGGUCGGGGCUCAACCCCGGAGGGUCAGGGUAGACCGGGAGCCUGGAGGCAGGGAGAGGGACGUGGAAUACCCGGUGGAGCGGUGAAAUGCGUAGAGAUCGGGUGGAACACCAGGGGCGAAGGCGGCGUCCUGGCCCUGUACUGACGCUGAGGCGCGAGAGCGUGGGGAGCGAACCGGAUUAGAUACCCCCGUAGUCC